Molecule: ribosomal RNA, 585 nt
Filed under: uncultured bacterium
Lineage: Bacteria
Description: bacterial SSU rRNA
Rfam family: Bacterial small subunit ribosomal RNA
Source: RNAcentral
CCUACGGGAGGCAGCAGUGGGGAAUUUUGGACAAUGGACGCAAGUCUGAUCCAGCCAUGCCGCGUGCGGGAAGAAGGCCUUCGGGUUGUAAACCGCUUUUGUCAGGGAAGAAAAGUUUGGGGCUAAUAACUCCGGACGAUGACGGUACCUGAAGAAUAAGCACCGGCUAACUACGUGCCAGCAGCCGCGGUAAUACGUAGGGUGCAAGCGUUAAUCGGAAUUACUGGGCGUAAAGCGUGCGCAGGCGGUUCUAUAAGACAGAUGUGAAAUCCCCGGGCUCAACCUGGGAACUGCAUUUGUGACUGUAGAGCUGGAGUACGGCAGAGGGGGAUGGAAUUCCGCGUGUAGCAGUGAAAUGCGUAGAUAUGCGGAGGAACACCGAUGGCGAAGGCAAUCCCCUGGGCCUGUACUGACGCUCAUGCACGAAAGCGUGGGGAGCAAACAGGAUUAGAUACCCUGGUAGUCCACGCCCUAAACGAUGUCAACUGGUUGUUGGGAAGGUUCCUUCUCAGUAACGUAGCUAACGCGUGAAGUUGACCGCCUGGGGAGUACGGCCGCAAGGUUGAAACUCAAAUGAAUUGACGG